This is a long non-coding RNA of Brassica rapa (field mustard), 1229 nucleotides long. RefSeq lists it as uncharacterized. Lineage: Eukaryota; Viridiplantae; Streptophyta; Magnoliopsida; Brassicales; Brassicaceae. The record is from RefSeq and is a predicted model, not a curated record.
UAUUGUCACGAUUCGAUAAGGACUCGGCACAUGUAUAGAAUUUAACUAUAACAACAUUCUUGCAUGUAAAAGAAAAACUAUAACAAUAGUGGCUCUUUAGAGUUAUGAUGUGCAAAAAAAGAGAGUUAAGGAUGUGCAUGUGAUAUUUAUAUUCUAUAUUUUUUUGUAACUCAGUGCAUGUGAUAUUACUACAUAGAAAGUGUUAGUGUUGGAAUUGCCAGAUGUGUAUGUAUUCAUCUAACAUUGUUGUCGCUCAUUUAAGAACUUUGAUUCAAUUUGCCAACCAGCUUAGAGAUUUUUAAAAACUUGCAAGCAUGUGCUACCACGUUGGUUUCUCAACUGUCUAUAUAUGAAUGAUUACACACUAUUUAAAUAUAUACGUCUAUAACAAGUAAUUGUAAAUAGUUACGCAUCCAUCCUAAACUCCUUUUUUUUUUCGACAACCAUCCUAAACUCCUAAUUAUUAUACACUGUUGUGUUUGAAGCAGUUAUUGUUUAUCCAUUUUCGCAACUACCACCUACCCACCUAACCCAAAGACUCAAAGGCCUGUCACUGUCAGAGUUUUCAUAGACACGUGACAUUUUCAACUUAAUGGUUUCAUACAACUCAUAUUACUAAAAGUUGCAUCAAUAUAAUUAAAGUAGCAGUAUAACAAAUGAUUCGAUUUAGCCACACUUGCAUGUUAUAACACGUAACAAGGAUGUGAAAGCGAAUUUAAUUGAGGAAAUUAUCUACCUGUAAAUUGUAUUAAAUGCUUAUUAAGUGAGACAUGGCCGGAAAUAAUCAAUACAGUAACUUUUAAAUUUAAUGAGCUGUCGUUAGCCUUUUCAAACAUAUGAACGUUGAAUUUAAGGAAGAGUCCUAGAUUUUAUUUUUCCAUGAAUCAUGAUUACUCAUAACAAAUAGUCAAAACCACUAAACCGGACUAAACCAACCAGAAUGACUAAAACAUAAUAUUUUCUCCGUAUUAAUUAUUAUCAGACAAAUUAAAGAAUAUAUAAUAAUAUACCUGAAGAAGCUGUUUAGCGAGAUCAAUGGAGAUAAGACCAGCACUACAACCCAUUCCACCGAGAUUAUAGCUCAAUAUAUUCCCUCUAAGCUUAUACUUAUUCACGAUCAUCGCAGAAAGUGACGGAGUCGGAUUAAACAAACUACAAUUCACCACAAGAAUCCCAAUAUCCUUCGGUUUAAUACCGGUUUUCUCAAGAACAGCGUCGAUAGCUCCGAA